RNAcentral lists this ribosomal RNA (242 nucleotides) under Heterosigma akashiwo. RNAcentral describes it as "partial Bacterial large subunit ribosomal RNA". It matches the Rfam family "Bacterial large subunit ribosomal RNA", at positions 1194 to 1440 of the family's 2925-position model. The record is from RNAcentral. Lineage: Eukaryota; Raphidophyceae; Chattonellales; Chattonellaceae.
CCGAAGCUGUGGAUUGUCCUUUGGACAAUGGUAGGAGAGCGUUCUAAGGGCGUUGAAGCAUGAUCGCAAGGACAUGUGGAGCGCUUAGAAGUGAGAAUGCCGGUGUGAGUAGCGAAAGACGGGUGAGAAUCCCGUCCACCGAUUGACUAAGGUUUCCAGAGGAAGGCUCGUCCGCUCUGGGUUAGUCGGGUCCUAAGCUGAGGCCGACAGGCGUAGGCGAUGGAUAACAGGUUGAUAUUCCU